RNAcentral lists this ribosomal RNA (252 nucleotides) under uncultured bacterium. Its description in RNAcentral is "partial 16S ribosomal RNA". It matches the Rfam family "Bacterial small subunit ribosomal RNA", at positions 524 to 776 of the family's 1533-position model. The record is from RNAcentral.
UACGGAGGAUGCGAGCGUUAUCCGGAUUUAUUGGGUUUAAAGGGUGCGUAGGCGGACUGUCAAGUCAGCGGUAAAAUUGAGAGGCUCAACCUCUUCCCGCCGUUGAAACUGGUGGUCUUGAGUGGAUGAGAAGUACGCGGAAUGCGUGGUGUAGCGGUGAAAUGCAUAGAUAUCACGCAGAACUCCGAUUGCGAAGGCAGCGUACCGGCAUCCAACUGACGCUGAGGCACGAAAGCGUGGGGCUCAAACAGG